UGCGUAGGUGGUGAUUUAAGUCAGCGGUGAAAGUUUGUGGCUCAACCAUAAAAUUGCCGUUGAAACUGGGUUACUUGAGUGUGUUUGAGGUAGGCGGAAUGCGUGGUGUAGCGGUGAAAUGCAUAGAUAUCACGCAGAACUCCGAUUGCGAAGGCAGCUUACUAAACCAUAACUGACACUGAAGCACGAAAGCGUGGGGAUCAAACA
This 207-nucleotide ribosomal RNA is filed under the name uncultured bacterium. Its description in RNAcentral is "partial 16S ribosomal RNA". It matches the Rfam family "Bacterial small subunit ribosomal RNA", at positions 568 to 774 of the family's 1533-position model. The record is from RNAcentral.